AUUGAACGCUGGCGGCAUGCCUUACACAUGCAAGUCGAACGGCAGCACGGGAGCAAUCCUGGUGGCGAGUGGCGAACGGGUGAGUAAUGUAUCGGAACGUACCUUUCAGUGGGGGAGUAACGUAGCGAAAGUUACGCUAAUACCGCAUAUUCUGUGAGCAGGAAAGCAGGGGAGUCGCAAGACCUUGCGCUGAUUGAGCGGCCGAUAUCAGAUUAGCUAGUUGGUGAGGUAAAGGCUCACCAAGGCGACGAUCUGUAGCGGGUCUGAGAGGAUGAUCCGCCACACUGGAACUGAGACACGGUCCAGACUCCUACGGGAGGCAGCAGUGGGGAAUUUUGGACAAUGGGCGCAAGCCUGAUCCAGCCAUGCCGCGUGAGUGAAGAAGGCCU
This 389-nucleotide ribosomal RNA is filed under the name uncultured bacterium. RNAcentral's name for it is "bacterial SSU rRNA". It matches the Rfam family "Bacterial small subunit ribosomal RNA", at positions 30 to 417 of the family's 1533-position model. The record is from RNAcentral.